This 886-nucleotide unclassified non-coding RNA is filed under the name Hevea brasiliensis (rubber tree). The record is from RNAcentral. Lineage: Eukaryota; Viridiplantae; Streptophyta; Magnoliopsida; Malpighiales; Euphorbiaceae.
AAAAAAAAAAAGUGAAAACGGGAAAGAGAGAGAGUCUUAUUUUUCUCUGAGUUUUGGUUUCUUUUUAUAGAAGAAGUCCUAUUUGUGGUUGCCUACUAGAGGCCUUCUCUGCCCCUCAAUGUAGGAGAGCCGCCCUUGGGCCUAGAAAAGUGGGUUUUGCCCUUCCUUUUUUUUGAGUUGAGUUGUUUUUUAGUUUUUUCUUUAUUUUUUUGCAGAUCUGGAACUAGAUGUGGGCAUUUUCUUCUAGCGAUCUUUGAGAGAGAGUUUUAGCAGAUGAAGCUCUGCCUAGUCUUUUCACAGUUGAGAGGAGAACGAGCCUUCCUUUGCCUUUGUUCAGUGCUGCUCCUUUUGAUGAAGGUUUGUUUGGAAGCUUACUGAGUCAAUGUGAGCUCUCUUCUUCUUCUUCGAUGGUAUAAGAUUAGUUUCAUCUAGUGGCGGUUUGCUCGUGGGAUGCAAUUCAAAAAUCAACCCAGAAGGCACAAGUGGGAUGCUGAAAAACCCCACUACCACUGACCUCCACUUGUUGUUGUCGGUAGGUGGCUUACAUGGCUACUUCCUCUUUGUGGAUUCUAGUUCCUUGAUAUGUGCUUUUCUUGGUUGUGCUUAGCACCAAUAGUCUUUGAUUCCUUGGGUGUUUAUUGCUUAGGGCCGUUUUAUUAUACGUUGAUGCUGUGCAUGGCCACGGCCUUGAGUUUGCUCUUUAGUAUGUUUUUUUAAUCUCCCCCGAUGAAGGAUUGCCAAUUGCGUUGCAGCGCUGCUAUGUGCUUUCAUCGGGUUUUGGGUUUCGGGCGGAUUAUCAUAUCAGCUAGGAUUAUGAAUGGGCACUGGGCCUAAAGUGCUGGGAUGGAUUUGAUUUAUCUAGGUUUAUAUGUAUUGGGCCAAGAAG